UAUGAGGGUGACCUGGUUGCAACAUCCGUCACCCCAUGAAUUGCCACAGUUGAUUUGUCUGAUCUGGCUGGCUAGACAGGUGUCCUCUUCUUUCUCCACCACCCAAUGUGUGCUCCUUCUAAAGCUACAUGUUCAGUGGAAAAGGAGGAUCACCCCAGAAGUAGGAUAUUGCUGUUCCUUUUUGAGGAGAAGGAAGAAGAAAAGGAGGUGACAAUCAUUUCCUAUAGCAAAGAUGAGUCAUAUCUAAAAUUAACUUU
This 257-nucleotide small nuclear RNA is filed under the name Salvator merianae (Argentine black and white tegu). RNAcentral's name for it is "7SK RNA (ENSSMRG00000005334.1)". It matches the Rfam family "7SK RNA". From Rfam's summary of the family: 7SK was discovered as an abundant small nuclear RNA in the mid-70s but a possible function has only recently been suggested. Two independent studies have found that 7SK RNA binds the CDK9/cyclin T complex (known as elongation factor P-TEFb). P-TEFb activates transcription by phosphorylating the C-terminal domain of RNA polymerase II. The record is from Rfam by way of RNAcentral. Lineage: Eukaryota; Metazoa; Chordata; Lepidosauria; Squamata; Teiidae.